ACACUAUAUUUUUUUUUAUGAGUGAACGGGGCUAGAUCCCAAAUCCCCAAACAGGCUUUCGAUUCUUACAUCUCUUGUCAUCAGCUCCUCCUUCUAUCUGAAGGUGAACUAUAGUAAUUACAUUAUCUUCUCUCGCAAUUCAUCUUGCAUCUUGAUUUGCUUUUCCAGAAUGUUGCAAUUUCCUUGCAUGUCAGGGUUCUCUAUUUGUGGUGCUUCCUGUGGACAAGAACAACAUUUUUGGGCAAAAAUUGUCCAGUCUGCGUUUUCAAAUGUUGUUAGUAGAUUGACAUAGGAAGAGACUGCUGGAGAUCCUGCAAUAUAGCAGCUGCAGAUUUGUGUUUUAAUUUGGUUUUGCAAUUUGCAGCAAGGGUAUAAAGACAAAUCUACUGAUUUUUAUUUUUAUUUUGCUUUUGCUCUUUCAUUUUCUGGGUUUUCUUCUCACAUCUCAGAAUUUUAGACGAAUCAGGUCUUGUACUUCUAGAGAUUCAGAUCUGUUUAUAUAUUAGUAAUGUUUAUAAUUGAA
This is a long non-coding RNA of Lotus japonicus, 523 nucleotides long. RefSeq lists it as uncharacterized. The transcript is spliced from 2 exons. The record is from RefSeq and is a predicted model, not a curated record. Lineage: Eukaryota; Viridiplantae; Streptophyta; Magnoliopsida; Fabales; Fabaceae.